AACUCAAAGGAAUUGACGGGGGCCCGCACAAGCAGCGGAGCGUGUGGUUUAAUUCGAGGCUACACGAAGAACCUUACCUGGGUUUGACAUCUGUGUGGUAGGGAACCGAAAGGGGACCGACCUUCGGGAGCACGGACAGGUGCUGCAUGGCUGUCGUCAGCUCGUGUCGUGAGAUGUUCGGUUAAGUCCGAAAACGAGCGCAACCCUCGGACGUAGUUACAGGUGUCUACGUCGACUGCCCGGGAGAACCGGGAGGAAGGUGGGGAUGACGUCAAGUCAGCAUGGCCUUGAUAUCCAGGGCUACACACACGCUACAAUGGUCGGUACAAUGGGCCGCAAGACCGCGAGGUGGAGCCAAUCCAGAAAGCCGAUCGUAGUUCGGAUUGCAGGCUGCAACUCGCCUGCAUGAAGCUGGAGUUGCUAGUAAACGCGCGUCAGCUAUAGUGCGUUGAAUACGUUCUCGGGCCUU
This 469-nucleotide ribosomal RNA is filed under the name uncultured Anaerolineaceae bacterium. RNAcentral's name for it is "bacterial SSU rRNA". It matches the Rfam family "Bacterial small subunit ribosomal RNA", at positions 898 to 1382 of the family's 1533-position model. The record is from RNAcentral. Lineage: Bacteria; Bacillati; Chloroflexota; Anaerolineae; Anaerolineales; Anaerolineaceae.